CCUACGGGGGGCUGCAGUUUCGAAUCAUUCACAAUGGGCGAAAGCCUGAUGGUGCGACGCCGCGUGAGGGAUGAAGGCCUUCGGGUUGUAAACCUCUGUCACUGGGGAAGAAACGCUUCAAGUUAAUAGCUUGAAGCCUGACUUAACCCAGAGAGGAAGCAGUGGCUAACUCUGUGCCAGCAGCCGCGGUAGUACAGAGACUGCAACAGUGAGUCGGAUGCACUGGCCGUCGAGGGUGCGCAGGCGGCCUGAAAGCCCGGGGCUUAACCUCGGAAUUGCGCCUAAAACUACACGGCUAGAGCAUUGGAGAGGGUAGCGGAAUUCACGGUGUAGCAGUGAAAUGCGUAGAUAUCGUGAGGAACACCAGAGGCGAAGGCGGCUACCUGGACAAUUGCUGACGCUCAGGCACGAAAGCGUGGGGAGCAAAAGGGAUUAGAUACCCUAGUAGUC
RNAcentral lists this ribosomal RNA (450 nucleotides) under uncultured bacterium. RNAcentral describes it as "partial 16S ribosomal RNA". It matches the Rfam family "Bacterial small subunit ribosomal RNA", at positions 338 to 795 of the family's 1533-position model. The record is from RNAcentral.